CGUACACUCCUGCGGGAGGCAGCAGUGGGGAAUAUUGGACAAUGGGCGCAAGCCUGAUCCAGCCAUGCCGCGUGAGUGAUGAAGGCCCUAGGGUUGUAAAGCUCUUUCACCGGAGAAGAUAAUGACGGUAUCCGGAGAAGAAGCCCCGGCUAACUUCGUGCCAGCAGCCGCGGUAAUACGAAGGGGGCUAGCGUUGUUCGGAAUUACUGGGCGUAAAGCGCACGUAGGCGGAUCGAUCAGUCAGGGGUGAAAUCCCAGGGCUCAACCCUGGAACUGCCUUUGAUACUGUCGAUCUGGAGUAUGGAAGAGGUGAGUGGAAUUCCGAGUGUAGAGGUGAAAUUCGUAGAUAUUCGGAGGAACACCAGUGGCGAAGGCGGCUCACUGGUCCAUUACUGACGCUGAGGUGCGAAAGCGUGGGGAGCAAACAGGAUUAGAAACCCGAGUAGUCCCAUG
RNAcentral lists this ribosomal RNA (453 nucleotides) under uncultured organism. Its description in RNAcentral is "partial 16S ribosomal RNA". It matches the Rfam family "Bacterial small subunit ribosomal RNA", at positions 330 to 799 of the family's 1533-position model. The record is from RNAcentral.